This 253-nucleotide ribosomal RNA is filed under the name uncultured bacterium. RNAcentral's name for it is "partial 16S ribosomal RNA". It matches the Rfam family "Bacterial small subunit ribosomal RNA", at positions 524 to 776 of the family's 1533-position model. The record is from RNAcentral.
UACGAAGGUCCCAAGCGUUGUUCGGAAUUACUGGGCGUAAAGCGCACGUAGGCGGCUUUGCAAGUUAGAGGUGAAAGCCCGGGGCUCAACCCCGGAAUUGCCUUUAAAACUGCAUCGCUAGAAUUGUGGAGAGGUAAGUGGAAUUCCGAGUGUAGAGGUGAAAUUCGUAGAUAUUCGGAAGAACACCAGUGGCGAAGGCGACUUACUGGACACAUAUUGACGCUGAGGUGCGAAAGCGUGGGGAGCAAACAGG